This is a non-coding RNA of Elaeis guineensis (African oil palm), 1202 nucleotides long. The record is from RefSeq and is a predicted model, not a curated record. Lineage: Eukaryota; Viridiplantae; Streptophyta; Magnoliopsida; Arecales; Arecaceae.
UGACUUGUUUCCCGUGCAGAAGUUUGUAUGAAAAGUUAGUUUUUUGUUUAGAAUGGGUGUUUCUGCUUGAGUUUUGAUAUUUACAUAUAACUAUGCUAAUGAUUGUAGAACUAAAAUAUUGAAUGAUAUAGCUGAGGCUUUGGAUAGCAUCUUUCAUGACAAAUUUCUGUGUAGCAACAGCUAAAGUAAAUGUUGUUUGAUGUUGAUAGGUGUUUCUAGUGGAUUGGAUGGGGGGGGGGCGGGGACCUUCUGAUGUUAUUUAUCCAAGAACAGAGCAACAUGUGAAGGAUGUGGAUAUGAUAGCAGUGUUCUUGAUCCUAUUUGAGAUUUGUUCAUCUAUCAUGCUUCUUUUCAACCUGCUGCGCUGCUGUACAGUGGUUCCUAAAUAGUGAGCUAUAUUUGAUAUUAACUGAGAUGAGUGAUCACCCAAACUUGCUGUUUUCUUUAAUCAUUUGGUUCACGGAGAAUCCUAGCUUCAGUAAUAAGAGAAGAGAGGUGCAUCAUAUGAGCUGACCCCAAAAUAGUUGGGACAGAGGCUGGAUGGUUAUGGUUAGUUGUGUCGUAUAUCAGAUAAAUAUAUACUUAGAGGAACCAUAUAUUUGGAACUUGGAGCAUGUUAUUUUUAUAUAAGUAGCAUUUCACGAUAUUCAGUACAGCACAUAACAACAAAUAAAUGCAUUCCAAAUAUCUUUAAAAACUUACCUGUUCUCAGCACUGAUGAAAUUUAAAGAACAGCUUGGUUUAUGAUCAUCCAGUCAAUGUUUAGGGGGGAGAUUUUUAACUCUGUUUUGAGUAAUCAAUUUAUCUUUUAGAUAGUUAUGGUAUUGAAAUGAAAGGAUAGGUACUAAAUUGUUUUAUGCAUAGAUAGGGCCUAUGGUCAAGGGUUUGCUUGAGUUUGUGCAUUCAUGUGCACUUACCUAGCAACUUUUGGUCUAUAUAACAUAUAAUUUGCUUGAAGAAUCUGUAAAGGGUGAAUCAGACUAGAAUCAAGAUAAAAUCUCUUUUCUAGUUCUGGGUUCUUGCUAAAACAUUUAAAUUAGUUACCUUCAUCCCUUUCUCUCCAUCUGUUUUAAUUAAAUUCUUCAUGGCAGACAUAGCUUUGUUGUUUAUUUAAAUUAUUCAUGCCAGUCAUUGCUUUGUUGUUUAUCCUUCAAACGUCCGUGGACUAAAAAAGUUACAUUGACAUCCAUUGUAUCCACCAA